UAUGUACCGUCGAAUUGGGAGAGAAAAGCCUUCAGUUCCUUUGCACAGAGACGAAAAUGAAAAUGAAAAUGAGCGGCACAAUCUAUUUUUUAUUUUGGUGAUUUUGAAAAGGGCAUUUGUUGGGAAAAUAAUUUUUAAUCGAGACCCUCGUUUACAGUAACCGAGGGUGGACUUCGGUUAGCUUUGGCCGAGUAAACAAGACUUUAUGCGCGGGCCAAGCGUUUUCACCGGGCCAUCCGUGUAAAGAUGAAAUGCUACCAAACAGAAGGUAGUUCCUGGUUUAAUAUGCUAAUAUGGCCUUAAACUACCUAUCAAACACGCCCUAAAUGUGCAGAUACAAUUUCUUUUGCCAACAAUUUGAAAUAAAAUCAGCAAUGGAAACCAGCAAAUCUUGUUUCUUGAAGGAUGCAUUCAGACAUCCGGUUUUGGUUGCGCGGCUUUCGAGCUCGUUCCAACGGAACCGUUAGGGUUCUGGAGGAGAUCCGAGGGCCCAGAUCCGAUCCCGUGGCAGAACUUGGCGUAGGCGAGGAUGAGGAAAGUGAGGCUGAACAUGAUGGAUAGGACUACUAGCACCACCGCCAUGCUCGGUUUAAGUGGAUUCACGUCGUGCUCGUUGCUCGUGUUUCGAGCUUCUGCACACACCAGCAAGGGCAGAAGAGCAAUCAGCUGUCUCAGAUGAUCCAUUUUAGAUGGAAAUUUAUCCGUACUUUGCUUCACUAUUUGUAUUGUUUCUUGAUCAUGAGAUGAAGAGAUUUAUGUUUGAGUCAAAUUUUGUUAUGGAUGAUGAUGCUUUGGAUUACUCUUUGGAUCUUUCUGUCCAAUGCAAGUAUGAUCUAAGUGUGAGGGGAUUUGAUGUGUGUAUUUGAGUUAUUUAGAUUAGUGUGUUUUUGUCGUCAUUAUUAUGAGAUAUUAUCCAAUUUGUGGUGUGAUUGAUGUAGGAAUUGCAUGGAGGAGAGUCGAGGCUCGUUGAUGGAAGAGAUGGUGGAAAUUCGAGAAUUUAUGAAGAAUUGCAUGAAAGAUGGAGGAAUUUUAGAGAUUGGGCUUGAAGAUAAUUGUUCCAAAUUUAAUUAAGUCCAAAACUCAUAUUUUUAAGUAUUUUGGGUUUGAUUUUAUUAAGGGCCGAAGCCCGUAGGGAUUAGAGAGGCGGUGGCUUAAGGGAGUCUUAAUUCCCUAAUUUUUGUUGCCAUA
RNAcentral lists this long non-coding RNA (1188 nucleotides) under Salvia miltiorrhiza (redroot sage). Its description in RNAcentral is "long non-coding RNA (SMIL_LNC011382)". Lineage: Eukaryota; Viridiplantae; Streptophyta; Magnoliopsida; Lamiales; Lamiaceae. The record is from RNAcentral.